UACUAUAAGAGUUAUUUUCUAAACACUAAAAAAUGAUUUUAAAGAAUAUUAAAAUUUUAGUUAUUUUUUAUUACGAAUUUCUUUUUUAGACACUAUCAAUUGGCUCCAAACUCUGAAAGCUAAAGAUAUUAGAAGUCCUAUAUAUCUUCCAAUUUCCUUCCCUACUCCCCUCAAUUUUGGAUAGUUCUUGGAUUCAUCUUUCUUUAAAUGUCCCUUCCCCUCCUCCCUGUCUCCCCUUUUUCUUCCUUCCCCUCCCGCUUCCUGGUUCAGGUCCAAUAUUGUUAACAGUAAAAUAACCCUUUCCCCUAUUCCCCUCCUCCUUU
RNAcentral lists this long non-coding RNA (323 nucleotides) under Pan troglodytes (chimpanzee). RNAcentral describes it as "long non-coding RNA NONPTRT012551". The record is from RNAcentral. Lineage: Eukaryota; Metazoa; Chordata; Mammalia; Primates; Hominidae.